GGGAUUGUAGCUCAGCUGGCUAGAGCGCACCCCUGAUAAGGGUGAGGUCGGUGGUUCGAGUCCACUCAGUCCCA
This 74-nucleotide transfer RNA is filed under the name Phycisphaeraceae bacterium. Its description in RNAcentral is "tRNA-Ile". It matches the Rfam family "tRNA". From Rfam's summary of the family: Transfer RNA (tRNA) molecules are approximately 80 nucleotides in length. Their secondary structure includes four short double-helical elements and three loops (D, anti-codon, and T loops). Further hydrogen bonds mediate the characteristic L-shaped molecular structure. tRNAs have two regions of fundamental functional importance: the anti-codon, which is responsible for specific mRNA codon recognition, and the 3' end, to which the tRNAs corresponding amino acid is attached (by aminoacyl-tRNA synthetases). tRNAs cope with the degeneracy of the genetic code in two manners: having more than one tRNA (with a specific anti-codon) for a particular amino acid; and 'wobble' base-pairing, i.e. permitting non-standard base-pairing at the 3rd anti-codon position. Lineage: Bacteria; Pseudomonadati; Planctomycetota; Phycisphaerae; Phycisphaerales; Phycisphaeraceae. The record is from RNAcentral. RNAcentral also lists the same sequence under 4 other names.